CCUACGGGUGGCAGCAGUGGGGAAUAUUGCACAAUGGGGAAACCCUUGUUCAGCAACGCCCCGGGGGGGAUGAAGGCCUUCGGGGCGGAAAGCCCUUGCCUAAGGGAAGAAUAUUGACCGUAACCUAGGAGGAAACCCCGGCUAACUACGUGCCAGCAGCCGCGGGAAUACGUAGGGGGCUAGCGUUAUCCGGAAUUACUGGGCGUAAAGGGUGCGUAGGCGGCCCUUCAAGUCAGAGGUGAAAGGCUACGGCUCAACCGUAGUAAGCCUUUGAAACUGUAGGGCUUGAGUGCAGGAGAGGAGAGUGGAAUUCCCAGUGUAGCGGUGAAAUGCGUAGAUAUUGGGAGGAACACCAGUUGCGAAGGCGGCUCUCUGGACUGUAACUGACGCUGAGGCACGAAAGCGUGGGGAGCGAACAGGAUUAGAUACCCUGGUAGUC
Molecule: ribosomal RNA, 439 nt
Filed under: uncultured bacterium
Lineage: Bacteria
Description: bacterial SSU rRNA
Rfam family: Bacterial small subunit ribosomal RNA
Source: RNAcentral